CACAAUAUUUCGACUUACCAUUUGGAAAAGGGUAAGUCGUUUUCCAAAUUUCUCGCGGCCCUUGCUCCACACAGAACUUUCUUACGUCCCUUGCUCCACACCGACGACUGUUUGGAAUCAUUCUCACCGGCGAGGCGGGCGGUCUUCUUCUCAGAAAUCAAAUAUCUGAAAGCUGAAAUUGUCUUCUUCGUGUUGCUAAAGGCUACCGGCGGUGCACCGAACAACCUUUCCAAGAGAUGGAACAUAAUUCUAUGCAUAAAACAAUAGUGGGAGUUGCUGCUUCAGCAUUGGCUUUUGGGGCUCUUUGGAUUCACAGAAUAAAAAUCUAAAAAGCAAAUAAGUCGUCAAUGUCAUGUGAAUUGAGAUGAUGAAAGAGAAAAUUACAUCAAUAAUAUUUUAUAUACAGGUGAUCAAAAUUGUAUCGACAUAAUACGAAUGCAACCACUUGCGUUCUUUAAUUUGUGUGACAUCCUUACUAGGAACAAUUUUUUUUUUAACAUAUAAUUGGUCAUAAUGUAAGAU
Hibiscus syriacus is the source of this 522-nucleotide long non-coding RNA. RefSeq lists it as uncharacterized. NCBI's taxonomy places the organism in Eukaryota, Viridiplantae, Streptophyta, Magnoliopsida, Malvales, Malvaceae. The transcript is spliced from 3 exons. The record is from RefSeq and is a predicted model, not a curated record.